ACUCAAAUGAAUUGACGGGGGCCCGCACAAGCAGCGGAGCGUGUGGUUUAAUUCGAGGCUACCCGAAGCACCUUACCUGGGCUUGAAGGGUCGGUGGUAGGGAACCGAAAGGGGACUGACCGCAAGGAGCCGACCCCGGUGCUGCAUGGCUGUCGUCAGCUCGUGUCGUGAGAUGUUCGGUUAAGUCCGAAAACGAGCGCAACCCUCGGGGCAAGUUACACGUAUCCUGCCCGACUGCCCGUGAGAAACGGGAGGAAGGUGAGGAUGACGUCAAGUCAGCAUGGCCUGGAUGUCCAGGGCGACACACACGCUACAAUGGCGGGGACAAUGGGUAGCCAAGGGGCGACCCGGAGCCAAUCCCGUAAACCCGGUCGUAGUUCGGAUUGCAGGCUGCAACCCGCCUGCAUGAAGCUGGAGUUGCUAGUAACCGCGCGUCAGCACAGUGCGGUGAAUACGUUCCCGGGCCUUGCACACACCGCCCGU
RNAcentral lists this ribosomal RNA (483 nucleotides) under uncultured bacterium. Its description in RNAcentral is "partial 16S ribosomal RNA". It matches the Rfam family "Bacterial small subunit ribosomal RNA", at positions 899 to 1397 of the family's 1533-position model. The record is from RNAcentral.